This 477-nucleotide ribosomal RNA is filed under the name uncultured bacterium. Its description in RNAcentral is "bacterial SSU rRNA". It matches the Rfam family "Bacterial small subunit ribosomal RNA", at positions 417 to 905 of the family's 1533-position model. The record is from RNAcentral.
UUCGGGUUGUAAACCGCUUUCAGCAGGGAAGAAGCGAAAGUGACGGUACCUGCAGAAGAAGCACCGGCUAACUAUGUGCCAGCAGCCGCGGUAAUACAUAGGGUGCAAGCGUUGUCCGGAAUUAUUGGGCGUAAAGAGCUCGUAGGUGGUUCGUCACGUCGGAUGUGAAAAUCUGGGGCUUAACCCCAGACCUGCAUUCGAUACGGGCGAGCUUGAGUAUGGUAGGGGAGUCUGGAAUUCCUGGUGUAGCGGUGGAAUGCGCAGAUAUCAGGAGGAACACCAAUGGCGAAGGCAGGACUCUGGGCCAUUACUGACACUGAGGAGCGAAAGCGUGGGGAGCGAACAGGAUUAGAUACCCUGGUAGUCCACGCCGUAAACGGUGGGCACUAGUUGUGGGGACCUUCCACGGUCUCUGCGACGCAGCUAACGCAUUAAGUGCCCCGCCUGGGGAGUACGAUCGCAAGAUUAAAACUCAAA